GAUUAACGCUGGCGGCGUGCCUAACACAUGCAAGUCGAGCGGCAGCGAGUUUUACACUGACUUCUGGAAGCUUCUAGUUGAAAGAGAAGAUUUAUUCAAGAAUUUUGUGUAAAAUGUCGGCGAGCGGCGGACGGCUGAGUAACGCGUGGGAACGUACCCCAAAGUGAGGGAUAACGCAUCGAAAGGUGUGCUAAUACCGCAUGUGGUCUUCGGAUUAAAGCCUUCGGGCGCUUUGGGAACGGCCUGCGUAAGAUUAGAUAGUUGGUGGGGUAAUGGCCUACCAAGUCGACGAUCUUUAACUGGUGUGAGAGGAUGAUCAGUCAGACUGGAACUGAGACACGGUCCAGACUCCUACGGGAGGCAGCAGUGAGGAAUCUUCCACAAUGGGCGAAAGCCUGAUGGAGCAACGCCGCGUGCAGGAUGAAGGCCUUCGGGUUGUAAACUGCUUUUAUAAGUGAGGAUUAUGACAGUAACUGAUGAAUAAGGAUCGGCUAACUACGUG
Molecule: ribosomal RNA, 502 nt
Filed under: uncultured bacterium
Lineage: Bacteria
Description: partial 16S ribosomal RNA
Rfam family: Bacterial small subunit ribosomal RNA
Source: RNAcentral